Oryctolagus cuniculus (rabbit) is the source of this 3867-nucleotide non-coding RNA. The record is from RefSeq and is a predicted model, not a curated record. Lineage: Eukaryota; Metazoa; Chordata; Mammalia; Lagomorpha; Leporidae.
CGGGGCGUGGGCAGGAGGCUGGUGAGGGCUGUGCGGUGGGGGGAAGAGCAAGACGUGGGAGGGCACCUGUGGCUGGGAAUGUCCGAGGGAUUCCCGGUAAGGAGGACGGAAGGCUGGACUUUCAACUAGGACGCUUUUCUGAGUGGGCAGGGGGGAGUGUUAGGAAAAUGGAGGCCUGUUGCGUGAGGGGAGCUGCUUGGCGUGGGAGGCAGGUCAGUUUCAAGUUGAUGGUGGAGUUAGCUGGAUGAAAAUGUCGAAGAGAAGCCAUGGAACUUAAAAGGUAUGGAAAAGCCGUUGGACCCUUUCUCGAUUACUGGGAAAGUGAGGGAAUUAGGAGUUUUGUUGGAUGUGGGAGUUACUUGAACUUUUUCAGAGACCCCUUACUGCGUCAUUCCUUCACACUUGCCCCCCCCCCCCCCGUUUUCUAUGACUGCUUUGGUGAGUGCUGUCUCUAGAUUGGCCCAAGUUUGGGAAAUAAUGAGAAGUUUUGUGAGAGCCGGAGGAAUGUGGGAAAAUCGCAUUAAAACAGCUGGAGAAGAUGGACUGGAGUCUGCAGGUCCUCCUGUGCUCCUUUGACUUCUGGAACAGCUGGAUUAAGAAAAAAUUCUUUUUGUAAAUAAACCUGAAAACAUUAUACUUAUUGUAUGCGAUACGCAGUGUUGCCUUUUCUUGUGUAUCUGCAUGUUCGCUUAUUUUUAAAAAUUUAUUUUCAUUUUUUUUAAAAGGCAGAGAGAGAGAUAUAUCUUCCGCUGGUUCAUUCUCCAAAUGCUCACAACAACCAGGGCUGGGCCCUAACCAAACCAGUACCCAGAACCCAAUGCAUGUCUCCUGUAUGGGUGGCAGAGGCCCAAGUACUUGAGUCAUUAUCAUUGCCUCCUAGGUUGUGCAUUAGCAGGAAUCUGGAUCAGAAGCCAGUGGAAGAGCUAGAACUUGAACCAGGCUCUCAAGAUGAGGGAUAUGAGCAUCCCAAGCAGCAUUUUAAAUACUGCAGUACUGCACCAAUUGCCUGCUUCAGUAAAUUUAAUAGAAUUUUUUCUUUUAAAGAUAGGUUUUUGAAUUGUAUAGCAUGUUUGAUUCUAGUGCAGAAAAGGUUAAGGGUUUUAUUUGUGAUUAGGGGAGAGUGCUUUUCUGUUGGGAUGGUGACAGGGGAAUUAGGAAAUUGGCAAAAAUAAGUAGUGGCUUAUGAUCUCCUGAGUUGUUAAAGACUCGAGGCUAGCCUUGUAGAAAUCAAGGGAGGAAAGCCAGAAAGUCAGGUUCAUGUGUUUUACCCAUCCUGAAACCGGUUUUUUGUUCUUGGAUGUUUCACUGAAAUCCUAAAGACAUGAUUUUCUCUCUCUCUCUCUCUCUCUCUUUUUUUUUAAUUUUUUUUGAGAGACAGAGUGGACAGUGAGACAGACAGAAAGGUCUUCCUUUGCUGUUGGUUCACCCUCCAAUGGCUGCCGCAGCCAGUGCACCGCGCUGAUCCGAUGGCAGGAGCCAGGUGCUUCUCUUGGUCUCCCAAGCACUUGGGCCAUCCUCCACUGCACUCCCGGGCCACAGCAGAGAGCUGGCCUGGAAGAGGGGCAACCGGGACAGAAUCUGUUGCCCCGACUGGGACUAGAACCCGGUGUGCCAGCGCUGCAGGCGGAAGAUUAGCCUAUUGAGCCAUGGCGCCGGCCAUGAUUUUCUCUUGAUGUAGAAAGUGGAUGUGAAAUGACUGUCAUAGUUCAGGGACAGAUUGACAGUUUUUGAUAAGGCAUUCAUAACCUUUGAGUUCAGAAAAUUGGGGGACAUUCAAAUUAAGGAAUUAUUUUGUCCGUAAUAAACCCUUAUCUAAAUUGUUAAAGCAUUGGGCUGCAGCUGGUCUUCUGUACAGCUGACAAGUGAACUGCAGAGGAUAGAGCAAGCCAUAAGUUCUAAGAGAUGUUUAACAUUUUUUCCAAUGGAAUUGUUACUGUGUUUGAAUUUGGAUGAGACUAUUAUAAAUGAAAUCAGCUUACAGUAACCAUAAUCAUGUUCUUUUUUUUUUUUUUUUUGAGAGGCAGAGUGGACAGUGAGAGAGAGAGACAGAGAAAGGUCUUCCUUCUGUUGGUUUACCCCACAAUGGCCGCUGCGGCCGGCGCGCUGCACUGAUCAGGAGCCAGGUGCUUUUCCUGGUCUCCCAUGCGGGUGCAGGGCCCAAGGACUUGGGCCAUCCUCCACUGCAUUCCUGGGCUACAGCAGAGAGCUGGCCUGGAAGAGGGGCAACCAGGACAGAAUCCGGCAUCCAAACUGGGACUAGAACCCGAUGUGCCGUCGCUGCAAGCGGAGGAUUAGCCUAUUGAGCCGUGGCACCGGCCAAUCAUGUUCAUUCUUUAAAAAAAGAUUUAUUUAUUUGAAAGUCAGAGUUACAGAGAUAGAGGGAGAGAGAGAUCUUCGGUUUGCUGGUUCAUUCUUCAGUUGACUUCAGUCACCAGGCUGAGCCAGGCCAAAGCCAGGAGCUUCAUUGAGAUCUCCUAUGUUAGUGACAGGAAUCCACAAACACUUGGCCAUCUUCUGCUUUUCCUAGGCCAUUAGCAGGGAGCUGGAUGGGAAGUGGAGCAGCCAGGACACGAACCAGCACCUAUAUGUGAUGCCAGUGUCAUGGGCAGUGGCUUUACCCACUACCCACAAUGUUGGCCCCCAUAUGUUCAUUUUUAUAAAAAUAUUUAAUUCAAAGGCAGAUGGCUGCAACAGCCAUGGCUGGGGCAGAGCCAGGAGCCUGGAACACCAUCUGAUCUCCCACAUGGGUGGCAGGGGCCCAGAAACGUGUGCCUUCCCUGGCACACCAACGUGGAGCUGAAUUGGAAGCAAAACAGCUGGGACUUGAUCCUGCACUCCAGUAUGGGAUGCUGGCACUGUAAGCUUGUGGCUUAACUCCUUGUGCAGUCACGCUGUGUUCAUGCUUGCACUUUGAUUGUUAUAAUAUAAACAUGGUGCAGUUUGCUGUGUGAUCUCAGUUGCUUAGUGUAUAAAGGAAAUUUAUUCCUUUGUGCUCUCCAUCCUUAUAGUUGAACAUGGCACCUCUUAAUAAAAUCAGCCUUGAUGAGGUGCUGUUAACAGUGCCACUGUCUGUCAAACCAGUUUUCAGAUAUUCUUUAUCUCUAGUUUAACUUCCUGUGGUCCAUCAAGAGCUUGAAAUUCAUCUGCUGAAUCCCCUUUUACUAUAAAGGCAAAAGUUUGUUUUGGAGAGCUGACUUGAAGUUAGUAGGAGGGUUAGAAAGGAAAGUUAGGAUGCUCCCCUGAAAUAAGAGCCAGGUGAUAAAAUCAUGUUAGUCCCCCAAGGAAAAACACUUGAAACCUUAGUUGAUCAGGAACUGUAGCUCCCUCUGCCUCAGACCAGAAUGUUUGAAAUAGUUACCACUCACCUAUAUGAUUUUUAUCAGGAGCACAGAUGAUUUAGAAUAACUACAGUUCUUUUCCUGAAUCCUCUCCCCCCAUCUCCCCAACCCCAGAAGGCACAAGAUUGAAGCGUUUUUGCUUGAGGUGCGUAGUGUUAGCCUCAUCAGUCUAUUGUGGUGACCCCACUAGAAAACUCUCCUGGGCCGGCGCCGCGGCUCACUAGGCUAAUCCUCCACCUUGCGGCGCCAGCACACCGGGUUCUAGUCCUGGUUGGGGUGCCGGACUCUGUCCCGGUUGCCCCUCUUCCAGGCCAGCUCUCUGCUGUGGCCCGGGAGUGCAGUGGAGGAUGGCCCAAGUGCUUGGGCCCUGCACCCCAUGGGAGACCAGGAGAAGUACCUGGCUCCUGCCAUUGGAUCAGCGCGGCGGCCAUUGGAGGGUGAACCAACAGCAAAGAAAGACCUUUCUCUCUGUCUCUCUCUCUAGCUGUCCACUCUGCCUGUCAAAAAAAAAAAAAAAAAAAAAGAAAAA